This 1109-nucleotide ribosomal RNA is filed under the name Escherichia coli. Its description in RNAcentral is "partial 23S ribosomal RNA". It matches the Rfam family "Bacterial large subunit ribosomal RNA", at positions 657 to 1765 of the family's 2925-position model. Lineage: Bacteria; Pseudomonadati; Pseudomonadota; Gammaproteobacteria; Enterobacterales; Enterobacteriaceae. The record is from RNAcentral.
AUAGGGGAGCCGAAGGGAAACCGAGUCUUAACUGGGCGUUAAGUUGCAGGGUAUAGACCCGAAACCCGGUGAUCUAGCCAUGGGCAGGUUGAAGGUUGGGUAACACUAACUGGAGGACCGAACCGACUAAUGUUGAAAAAUUAGCGGAUGACUUGUGGCUGGGGGUGAAAGGCCAAUCAAACCGGGAGAUAGCUGGUUCUCCCCGAAAGCUAUUUAGGUAGCGCCUCGUGAAUUCAUCUCCGGGGGUAGAGCACUGUUUCGGCAAGGGGGUCAUCCCGACUUACCAACCCGAUGCAAACUGCGAAUACCGGAGAAUGUUAUCACGGGAGACACACGGCGGGUGCUAACGUCCGUCGUGAAGAGGGAAACAACCCAGACCGCCAGCUAAGGUCCCAAAGUCAUGGUUAAGUGGGAAACGAUGUGGGAAGGCCCAGACAGCCAGGAUGUUGGCUUAGAAGCAGCCAUCAUUUAAAGAAAGCGUAAUAGCUCACUGGUCGAGUCGGCCUGCGCGGAAGAUGUAACGGGGCUAAACCAUGCACCGAAGCUGCGGCAGCGACGCUGAUGCGUUGUUGGGUAGGGGAGCGUUCUGUAAGCCUGCGAAGGUGUGCUGUGAGGCAUGCUGGAGGUAUCAGAAGUGCGAAUGCUGACAUAAGUAACGAUAAAGCGGGUGAAAAGCCCGCUCGCCGGAAGACCAAGGGUUCCUGUCCAACGUUAAUCGGGGCAGGGUGAGUCGACCCCUAAGGCGAGGCCGAAAGGCGUAGUCGAUGGGAAACAGGUUAAUAUUCCUGUACUUGGUGUUACUGCGAAGGGGGGACGGAGAAGGCUAUGUUGGCCGGGCGACGGUUGUCCCGGUUUAAGCGUGUAGGCUGGUUUUCCAGGCAAAUCCGGAAAAUCAAGGCUGAGGCGUGAUGACGAGGCACUACGGUGCUGAAGCAACAAAUGCCCUGCUUCCAGGAAAAGCCUCUAAGCAUCAGGUAACAUCAAAUCGUACCCCAAACCGACACAGGUGGUCAGGUAGAGAAUACCAAGGCGCUUGAGAGAACUCGGGUGAAGGAACUAGGCAAAAUGGUGCCGUAACUUCGGGAGAAGGCACGCUGAUAUGUAGGUGA